RNAcentral lists this transfer RNA (98 nucleotides) under Colletotrichum higginsianum. RNAcentral describes it as "tRNA CH063_16242". Lineage: Eukaryota; Fungi; Ascomycota; Sordariomycetes; Glomerellales; Glomerellaceae. The record is from RNAcentral.
GCCCUGAUGGUCUAGCGGUAUGAUUCUCCCUUAGGGUUGUCUACGACAUCUCAAUUCUCGAAUGGGAGAGGUCCCAGGUUCGAUCCCUGGUUAGGGCC